GACGAACGCUGGCGGCGUGCUUAACACAUGCAAGUCGAACGGAAAGGCCCCUUUGGGGGUCCUCGAGUGGCGAACGGGGGCGUAACACGUGAGUAACCUUCCCUUGACUUCGGGAUAACUUCAGGAAACUGGGGCUAAUACCGGAUAGGAAUCCUUUCUGCAUGGGGGUGGUUGGAAAGCUUCGGCGGGUUUUGAUGGACUCUCUGCUUAUCGGCUUGUUGGGGUGGUAGUGGGUUACCAAGGCGUUGACGGGUAGCCGCCCUGAGAGGGCGACCGGCCACACUGGGACCGAGAGACGGCCCAGGCUCCUACGGUAGGCAGAAGUGGGGAAGAUUGCACAAUGGGCGGAGGCCUGAUGCAGAAAGGCCGCGUGCGGGAUGACGGUCUUAGGGUUGAAAACCGAUUUCAGCAGGGGCGAAGCUUGUGGUGACGGUACCUGCAGAAGAAGCACCGGCUAACUACGUG
Molecule: ribosomal RNA, 465 nt
Filed under: uncultured bacterium
Lineage: Bacteria
Description: partial 16S ribosomal RNA
Rfam family: Bacterial small subunit ribosomal RNA
Source: RNAcentral